CGGGCAAACCGCUCCAUCGCGUUUUGAUUUUUUUCAAGAUGAGGAAAGUCCAGGCUGCGCAGGGUGCCAUACUCUAUUAAUACGGAGGCUUUGGGUAAGGAAUUAUUCAUUGACAGAAAGUGCUGCAGAAAUUUAGACUUCCGAUGGUUUGAGCCUAGCUCAGACACAGGUAAAGCUGAAAAGGUGAGGUAAGAGCUCACCAGUACUGGUAGUGAUGCCGGUAGCUAGGUAAACCUUAUGGGCAGAAAGACCGUGUAAACCCCGUCUCGGCUUGACUGAGAAAAAGCUACUCGCUUUUACACCACGGGGAGGGUAGGUCGAUUAGAUAAAUGAUGGAACCAGUUUACUGGAACAGAACUUGGCUUAUAGGUUUGCCCAUUUU
Molecule: RNase P RNA, 382 nt
Filed under: Flavobacteriales bacterium
Lineage: Bacteria; Pseudomonadati; Bacteroidota; Flavobacteriia; Flavobacteriales
Description: RNase P RNA component class A
Rfam family: Bacterial RNase P class A
About the family: Ribonuclease P (RNase P) is a ubiquitous endoribonuclease, found in archaea, bacteria and eukarya as well as chloroplasts and mitochondria. Its best characterised activity is the generation of mature 5'-ends of tRNAs by cleaving the 5'-leader elements of precursor-tRNAs.
Source: RNAcentral